CAGUCUGUUCUCUCUGUUGGGUCACAAGGGGAGAGGACAAUAAGGAAUGCAGGGCGGUCUACACUGGGUACAGAAGGUGAUGCCAAGCAGACAGGAGCCCUUUACUUUCCUGGCAGUGCUCUGAGGACCCUCUUCUAUAAACAGGUGCUCUCCAGAUCUCACGGUAAACUCACAGGCACUAAAGUGGAGGGAGAUUUCAUGCAAUCGACAUGACUUCCUUUGUGGGAGUAGUCAGUAAAGUAUCCUCUGUUAUGCAAGAAAUCAAGAACCAGAAAGGUGAGUGUGACCAACAGGAAUUUGGUGACCGGCUUGGUAAUCUGACUUGAGCUGUAACAGCAGAUGGAGGGGAAAACCUUGCUUAAUGAGCUUUGGAAACAGGGCUUUUAUAUAUAUUUAUAUUUUAAAAAGGAUUAAGUAGGAAAACAUUUUCAAGAUUUAUUUUUAAUUAUGUGAGUGUGUGUGCGCGUAGUGUGUGUUCAUUAGUGCAGAUUCCAACAGAGACCAGAAAGGGGAGCUGCAUUCCCUGGAGCUGGCCCUGCAGAUGGUUGUGAGCCGCCAUGUGGGUGCUGGGAUUUGAACUCAGGCCUCUGCAGCAGCAGUUGCUGCUCUGAAGCACUGAGAAUCUCCCGAGCCCCAUGUAAAUCCUUAAAGCAAUCAAGCACUCUCCGUUCCUGAGCCAUAUCACUGUUGUUAUGCGUUUCAGCAAUCUACGUACUUUUUUUUUUAAUUACACAAGAAGUUUUAAGUAAAAAAGUAUUUUAGUCUAGCAGAGUAUUUACUUGACCAGGAUGACUUAAAAAAAACAUUUUAAAGUAAAAACUAACACAAAGGAAACACUUACAGCAAAACCUAAACUGGAUUAUAAUACUAAGGGUUGAAAAAUUAUUUGUAUGUUAGAAAUUUUUGAAUGCUAAGUAGAAUUUUCUCAAUUUUUCUGAUUAAGUAAUAUAAGAAAGGAUAGUUGCCUCAGAAUGCAUCUAGUUUCACAUCCCCUUUAAAAGUGGACGACACUGUAGCCGAGCACGUGAGAGUGCGCAUGCACCUGUGGAGACACUGUCUAGAUAUGCUAAAGCAUAUUUACAUGUAAAAUCUUGUAAGUAUAUAUAUUAGUAAUUACUUGUAUAUGUAAAGGAAACAAACAGAAGGAUAUCUACUAAUUAGAAUUGCAUUAGAGUUGAAGUUGCAAGGUAGUAUAAAAAAGUGGGGACAUUUUAAGCCCUGCAUUCUUCCUUAUACAUAAAUCCUUGUAUUACACCUAUUUUUAAAGUAUAUUUCUUAUGUGCACAGCAAGAAAUACUUUAGCUAGGAAUAACAGUGUGAAAACCCCACAACAUUGGCAAGGUCUAAGUAGUAAGAGGGAAAGACAAAGACAGACUGGGAAGACAGACGGCAGCAGCCAUAGCCGCAGCUGCCAGGACAAAGGGUGAGCCAGGGCUGCAGGGCUGAGACGUGAGUGGGACGUCGACUCAGGCGUCCACACCCAAGCCUGCGGGAUCUGGUGAAAAGCACUAUCUGACUUGUCUAUAGACAAGUCUCACUUCACACAGAGGAUAAGUGACACGUAGCACAGAAUGGAGCUAGGUAACUCGGAUCCCAGAUUCCCUUGGGCAAAAGCAAACCCACAUUGCAUAUUCUACCCUGUGCAGGGGCAGCGUGCACACAGGACAGCACCUCCAUUCCUGGCAUGCACAGGAGGUAUCACACGUGGUGAGGUAACUAACAGAAUCCAGUACGUCCAUUAUGGGACAACUGAAGUUCUCAAAAGAACACUAUGUUGGUAUAUAAUCUAUGUUUUAACUGUAAACAGCUGCUUGAGAAAUUUAAAGGCUGUGGGAAACAAACAGGUCAGUAGGCACUAUCUUGUUCCUGUGGUCUCCUAGGUUUGAAGUUCAAGGGCUAGGGGCUGGAGAGAUGGCCCGGAGCUCCAAAGUGCAGCGCCUGGGCUUGAUUCCUAGGCUGCACACAGUGCCUCACAACUAUCUGUAACUCAGUGUCUUUGGUCUCCACAUAGGCAAAUACAUAUAACACAGUCCCAUAAACAGACAGACAAACAAACCUUUCUAAAAAUUUCAAGGGCUAGAAAAACAAUGUGAGUAGUUAUUUUAUUUUAUUUUAUUUUAUUUUGUUCAUUAUGGUAAAAUGGAAAAAACAGAAUCAGAAUAAAGCCUAUAUAUUAGAUAAAAGUCGUCUUCCUAAGAAUUAUCUGGUUGUGGUGAUCUGAGUUAUCCUUUUGGUAUCAUCAAGGAAAUAAAAACAUGAGACUCUUACAGUGGCUAAGGGACGUAUUUGCAGUUGUUUUUUCAAAUAAUUCUGAAAACCAUAUGAGCAGAGUGUGCAAGGGAGUGAGGAAAAAGGGCAAUUGAGGUGACAAAGCAAAACAGUACAGUAAUUACAGCAAUCACAGGGUGAGACCUGGUGCAAUGGGUGGUAUGUAUUAGACUAAGUUUAGUAAUUCUUCUUGUAAGGACAUGACUAAGUACCCAUGUCCU
Rattus norvegicus (Norway rat) is the source of this 2489-nucleotide non-coding RNA. The record is from RefSeq and is a predicted model, not a curated record. NCBI's taxonomy places the organism in Eukaryota, Metazoa, Chordata, Mammalia, Rodentia, Muridae.